RNAcentral lists this ribosomal RNA (497 nucleotides) under uncultured bacterium. Its description in RNAcentral is "partial 16S ribosomal RNA". It matches the Rfam family "Bacterial small subunit ribosomal RNA", at positions 28 to 507 of the family's 1533-position model. The record is from RNAcentral.
GAUGAACGCUGGCGGCGUGCCUAAUACAUGCAAGUCGAGCGAACAGAUGAGGAGCUUGCUCCUCUGACGUUAGCGGCGGACGGGUGAGUAACACGUGGAUAACCUACCUAUAAGACUGGGAUAACUUCGGGAAACCGGAGCUAAUACCGGAUAAUAUAUUGAACCGCAUGGUUCAAUAGUGAAAGACGGUUUUGCUGUCACUUAUAGAUGGAUCCGCGCCGCAUUAGCUAGUUGGUAAGGUAACGGCUUACCAAGGCGACGAUGCGUAGCCGACCUGAGAGGGUGAUCGGCCACACUGGAACUUAGACACGGUCCAGACUCCUACGGGAGGCAGCAGUAGGGAAUCUUCCGCAAUGGGCGAAAGCCUGACGGAGCAACGCCGCGUGAGUGAUGAAGGUCUUCGGAUCGUAAAACUCUGUUAUUAGGGAAGAACAAAUGUGUAAGUAACUAUGCACGUCUUGACGGUACCUAAUCAGAAAGCCACGGCUAACUACGUG